RNAcentral lists this ribosomal RNA (460 nucleotides) under uncultured bacterium. Its description in RNAcentral is "partial 16S ribosomal RNA". It matches the Rfam family "Bacterial small subunit ribosomal RNA", at positions 338 to 795 of the family's 1533-position model. The record is from RNAcentral.
CCUACGGGGGUCAGCAGUGAGGAAUAUUGGUCAAUGGACGAGAGUCUGAACCAGCCAAGUAGCGUGAAGGAUGACUGCCCUAUGGGUUGUAAACUUCUUUUAUAUGGGAAUAAAACGUUCAACGUGUGGGAUUUUGUAUGUACCAUAUGAAUAAGGAUCGGCUAACUACGUGCCAGCAGCCUCGGUAAUACGGAGGAUCCGAGCGUUAUCCGGAUUUAUUGGGUUUAAAGGGAGCGUAGGUGGAUUGUUAAGUCAGUUGUGAAAGUUUGCGGCUCAACCGUAAAAUUGCAGUUGAAACUGGCAGUCUUGAGUACAGUAGAGGUGGGCGGAAUUCGUGGUGUAGCGGUGAAAUGCUUAGAUAUCACGAAGAACUCCGAUUGCGAAGGCAGUUCACUGGACUGCAACUGACACUGAGGCUCGAAAGUGUGGGUAUCAAACAGGAUUAGAUACCCCAGUAGUC